This 253-nucleotide ribosomal RNA is filed under the name uncultured bacterium. Its description in RNAcentral is "partial 16S ribosomal RNA". It matches the Rfam family "Bacterial small subunit ribosomal RNA", at positions 524 to 776 of the family's 1533-position model. The record is from RNAcentral.
UACAGAGGGGGCGAGCGUUAUUCGGAAUUAUUGGGCGUAAAGGGCGCGUAGGCGGCUUUUCAAGUGACGGGUGAAAUCCCUCGGCUUGACCGAGGAACUGCCUGUCAGACUGGAAGGCUUGAGACCGGGAGAGGUGAGUGGAAUUCCCAGUGUAGCGGUGAAAUGCGUAGAUAUUGGGAGGAACACCAGUGGCGAAGGCGGCUCACUGGACCGGAACUGACGCUGAGGCGCGAAAGCGUGGGGAGCAAACAGG